This 506-nucleotide ribosomal RNA is filed under the name uncultured bacterium. RNAcentral's name for it is "partial 16S ribosomal RNA". It matches the Rfam family "Bacterial small subunit ribosomal RNA", at positions 28 to 507 of the family's 1533-position model. The record is from RNAcentral.
GACGAACGCUGGCGGCGUGCUUAACACAUGCAAGUCGAACGGUGAAGGGACUGGUUUUGCUGGUCCUGGAUGAGUGGCGAACGGGUGAGUAACACGUGAGUAACCUGCCCCCUUCUUCUGGAUAACCGCAUGAAAGUGUGGCUAAUACGGGAUAUUCUGGGUCUGUCGCAUGGUGGGCCUGGGAAAGAUUGCGCCUUUUUUGGUGUGUUUGGUGGGGGAUGGGCUCGCGGCCUAUCAGCUUGUUGGUGGGGUGAUGGCCUACCAAGGCGGUGACGGGUAGCCGGCCUGAGAGGGUGGACGGUCACACUGGGACUGGGACACGGCCCAGACUCCUACGGGAGGCAGCAGUGGGGAAUAUUGCACAAUGGGCGCAAGCCUGAUGCAGCGACGCCGCGUGAGGGAUGGAGGCCUUCGGGUUGUGAACUUCUUUCGCCAGUGAAGCAGGCCUGCCUCUUUUUGUGAGUGGGUUGACGGUAGCUGGAUAAGAAGCGCCGGCUAACUACGUG